RNAcentral lists this ribosomal RNA (253 nucleotides) under uncultured bacterium. RNAcentral's name for it is "partial 16S ribosomal RNA". It matches the Rfam family "Bacterial small subunit ribosomal RNA", at positions 524 to 776 of the family's 1533-position model. The record is from RNAcentral.
UACGGAGGAUCCAAGCGUUAUCCGGAAUCAUUGGGUUUAAAGGGUCCGUAGGCGGACGAUUAAGUCAGAGGUGAAAGUCUGCAGCUCAACUGUAGAAUUGCCUUUGAUACUGGUUGUCUUGAAUUUAGUUGAGGUGGGCGGAAUACGUUAUGUAGCGGUGAAAUGCAUAGAUAUAACGUAGAACACCGAUUGCGAAGGCAGCCUCCUGGACCAACACUGACGCUGAGGUGCGAAAGCGUGGGGAGCAAACAGG